GACGAACGCUGGCGGCGGGCUUAACACAUGCAAGUCGAACGGAAAGGCCCUGCUUUUGUGGGGUGCUCGAGUGGCGAACGGGUGAGUAACACGUGAGUAACCUGCCCUUGCCUUUGGGUUAGCGUCAGGAAACUGGGGCUAUUACCGGAUAGGAGCUCCUGCUGCAUGGCGGGGGUUGGAAAGUUUCGGCGGUUGGGGAUGGACUCGCGGCUUUUCAGCUUGUUGGUGGGGUACUGGCUUACCAAGGCUUUGACGGGUAGCCGGCCUGAGAGGGUGACCGGACACAUUGGGACUGAGGUACGGCCCAGACUCCUGAGGGAGGAAGCGGUGGGAAUGAUUGCACGAUGGGCGGAAGCGUGAUGCAGCAACGCCGCGUGAGGGAUGACGGCCUUCGGGUUGUAAACCGCUUUAGCCUGUGACGAAGCGUGAGUGACGGUAAUGGGUAAAGAAGCACCGGCUAACUACGUG
RNAcentral lists this ribosomal RNA (468 nucleotides) under uncultured bacterium. Its description in RNAcentral is "partial 16S ribosomal RNA". It matches the Rfam family "Bacterial small subunit ribosomal RNA", at positions 28 to 507 of the family's 1533-position model. The record is from RNAcentral.